This 2483-nucleotide ribosomal RNA is filed under the name alkali sediment metagenome. RNAcentral describes it as "bacterial LSU rRNA". It matches the Rfam family "Bacterial large subunit ribosomal RNA", at positions 447 to 2738 of the family's 2925-position model. The record is from RNAcentral.
GGGGGACCAUCUCCUAAGGCUAAAUACUACCUGGCAACCGAUAGUGAACAAGUACCGUGAGGGAAAGGUGAAAAGUACUCCGGGAGGAGAGUGAAAUAGUACCUGAAACCGUGUGCUUACAAGCUGUGGAAGGACCAUGGAUAAGUGGGAGGGGUAACUCUCUUGUUUAUCCGGUCUGACUGCGUGCCUUUUGUAUAAUGAGUCAGCGAGUUACUCUAUGUAGCGAGGUUAAGCCGUCAGGUGGAGCCGUAGCGAAAGCGAGUCUGAAUAGGGCGAUUUAGUUGCAUGGAGUAGACCCGAAGCCAGGUGAUCUAUUCAUGGCCAGGGUGAAGCGCAUGUAACAGUGCGUGGAGGCCCGAACCGGUGUGGGUUGAAAACCGCUCGGAUGAGCUGUGAAUAGGGGUGAAAGGCCAAUCAAACUUGGAAAUAGCUGGUUCUCCCCGAAAUAUAUUUAGGUAUAGCCUUGUAACUUUAAGUACCGGAGGUAGAGCCAAACCCAACCAAACUCCGAAUGCCGGUAACUUCAAUUACAGGAGUCAGACUACGGGAGAUAAGUUCCGUGGUCGAGAGGGAAACAGCCCAGAUCGCCAGCUAAGGUCCCUAAUACAUGCUAAGUGGAGAAGGAUGUGGAAAUGUACAGACAACCAGGAGGUUGGCUUAGAAGCAGCCAUCCUUUAAAGAAAGCGUAAUAGCUCACUGGUCAAAUGAGUCUGCGCCGAAAAUGUAACGGGGCUCAAGCAUGUAACCGAAGCUGCGGACUUGCACCGCAAGGUGGGAGUGGUAGGGGAGCAUUCCAUUGUAGGUUGAAGCCGGACUGUAAGGACCGGUGGACGAAAUGGAAGAGAUUAUGCUGACAUAAGUAGCGAUAAAGCCUGUGAGAAACAGGCUCGCCGAAAACCCAAGGUUUCCUGAGUAAAGCUAAUCUUCUCAGGGUUAGUCGAUCCCUAAGCCGAGGCCGAAAGGCGUAGGCGAUGGGAAACAGGUUAAUAUUCCUGUACCACUAGAUCAGCGUUAUCAACGAUGGGGGGACGUAGAAGGGUAGGCCAUCCAGGUGUUGGACGCCCUGGUUCAAGCCCGUAGGGGGAGAUUCCAGGCAAAUCCGGAAUCUCAUUCAACUCCAAGAGGUGAUGAGGAGAGAUUUUAUCUCGUAAACUGGCUGAUCCCAUGCUACCAAGAAAAGCCUCUAGUGAGUUGAUCUGGUGAUCGUACCGUAAACCGACACAGGUAGGUAAGGAGAGUAUCCUAAGGCGCUUGAGUGAUUCCUCGUUAAGGAACUCGGCAAAAUUACACCGUAACUUCGGAAGAAGGUGUGCCCGCACGCGUGAAGCGAUACGCACGUCGAGCGCGAGUGGGUUGCAGUGAAAAGGCCCAAGCGACUGUUUAGCAAAAACACAGGUCUCUGCGAAGUCGUAAGACGAUGUAUAGGGACUGACGCCUGCCCGGUGCUGGAAGGUUAAGGGGAUUUGUUAGCCGCAAGGCGAAGCUUUGAACCGAAGCCCCNGUAAACGGCGGCCGUAACUAUAACGGUCCUAAGGUAGCGAAAUUCCUUGUCGGGUAAGUUCCGACCUGCACGAAUGGCGUAACGAUUUGNGCGCUGUCUUGACGAGGAGCUCAGCGAAUUUGAUAAACCGGUGAAGAAGCCGGUUACCCGCAACAAGACGGAAAGACCCCGUGCACCUUUACUAUAGCUUGACAAUGAAUUUCGGGCUGGUUUGUGUAGGAUAGGUGGGAGGCUAUGAAAUGGAGACGCUAGUUUUCAUGGAGCCAACCUUGAAAUACCACCCUGAUUAUUCUGAAAUUCUAACCUGGGCCCGUUAUCCGGGUCGGGGACAUUGUCUGGUGGGUAGUUUGACUGGGGCGGUCGCCUCCAAAAAGGUAACGGAGGCGCGCGAAGGUUCCCUCAGGCUGAUUGGAAACCAGCCGUAGAGUGUAAAGGCAUAAGGGAGCUUGACUGCGAGACUGACAAGUCUGCGAAAGCAGGUCUUAGUGAUCCGGUGGUUCCGCAUGGAAGGGCCAUCGCUCAACGGAUAAAAGGUACGCCGGGGAUAACAGGCUUAUCCCGCCCAAGAGUUCAUAUCGACGGCGGGGUUUGGCACCUCGAUGUCGGCUCAUCGCAUCCUGGGGCUGAAUAAGGUCCCAAGGGUUUGGCUGUUCGCCAAUUAAAGCGGUACGUGAGCUGGGUUCAGAACGUCGUGAGACAGUUCGGUCCCUAUCUGUUGUGGGCGCAGGAUAUUUGAGAGGAGCUGUCCCUAGUACGAGAGGACCGGGAUGGACGAACCGCUGGUGUUCCAGUUGUCAGGUGUGUAAACACAGUAAUGUGUUGAGCUUACUGAUACUAAUAGGCCGUGCGGCUUGACCAUAAUUAUUAUGGUUUCAUAAAUAAUGUUUCAAGAAGGCGUUCAUGAUAUGCAAUUGUUUUAAUACAUAAAGUAUUAUUUCGGUGGCUAUAGCGGAGAGGACACACCCGUUCCCAUCUCGAACAC